RNAcentral lists this long non-coding RNA (1398 nucleotides) under Equus caballus (horse). RNAcentral's name for it is "lncRNA (ENSECAG00000047184.1)". Lineage: Eukaryota; Metazoa; Chordata; Mammalia; Perissodactyla; Equidae. The record is from RNAcentral.
GUUAGCUAUAUGUAUCUCAAAGAUGCUCUUAAUGGAGAUGGGGAAGUUCUUCACUAUUUCUAUUUUUCUGAGGAUUUUUAUAAUGAAUAGAUUUUGAUUUUGUCAAAUUAUUUAUUUGCAUCGGUUGAAAUGAUCAUGAGAUUUUUCUUCUUUAGACUGUUAAUAUAGUGGACCGUAUUGAUUGCUUUGCAAAUACUGAACCAGCCUGGCAUCUCUGGAAUAAAUUCUACUUUGUCAUGCCUAACACACCACCACCACCACCACCACCACCUCAGCCUUCCCACGUUCUGGCAGUCUUCCCAAUUCUGGAAGAAGUCAAAAGGAAUAACGACAUACACUCCAUUGUGUAGUAAUCCGGGUCCUGGAAGCUACAGGUAAAUGAGGCAGGCGAAUGUGUCACCUGUACUUGGCCAAAUGCCCCAAUUUCCUCCAGGAGACCCUUAAUCAGUUGGAGGAAUUUGAUGCUGUUACAACGCAAAUAACCCUUAGUUUUCAGUCUCUACCCUACCGUAUAACCAAAUUCCUGAAAAUUUCCUGAGUUCAGCUUUUGGUAGAAGAGCAAGAGUAAAGUGUGCAAGGCUCAGCUGAGACAGAAUGAGUGGAGCACGUCAUGAAGAGAAGGGGUCAGAAGUGUGAGGCUGGGGAUGAUGUGACCUCACAUUCAUAACAAUUUUGACUACGGCUAGCCUGAAAUCAAGGGUUUCCCAGGAAACUGCCAGCUCACAGAUGGCUCAGAGUUUCCUUAGCAACUGCUCGGGGCUGUCUGGGACAACCAAAGCCCAGAACAGUCCUUCAGGACACCCAUAGUUUCUCCUCUGGUCUCCUAAGAUGGACAAGAGUAUCUUGAACCAUCCAAACCACAAACAUCUCCAGCACAUGGUUUCCAUUAUAACAAUCCUGGGUAUCUGUCAAAAGUGAAGAGCAGGAGGUUGUAACUCUGAGGAGAGAAGACAGACCGGAGAGCCAAUCAAAUUUCAAACUAUACUUUGCUGUGGGCAUGGAUGGAGAAGCAGGUCACAUCUGAUGAAUGAAGAGGAGCUUCCAAGCAGCCAAAGUAAAGUAUUUUGCUACACAAACUGCAGGAUCAAUGUUCGUGUUUUGAAGCUCAAGAGAUUGACAGCUGUAGAAAUUAAGUUCCAGAAUAUAUCCACCAGCCAGGUUCAUAAUUGUCUCAGAAGUGGCCCUGGGAAACCCAAACAGCUCCAAGGACCACUAUACCAGGCCACUCCGCUUCUCUAAUAAAAUAUUUCUACCACUACUCUUAAAAUUUGUUUUUAAAAUUUAAUUUUUAAGAGCUGUUUUAGGUUUACAACAAAAUUAAGAAAGAGGUACAGAUAUUUCCCACAUACCCCCUGUCCCAUACAUGCAUAACUUCCCCUUUAUCAACGUCAGUCUCCA